Nicotiana attenuata is the source of this 1433-nucleotide long non-coding RNA. RefSeq lists it as uncharacterized. The record is from RefSeq and is a predicted model, not a curated record. The transcript has 7 exons. NCBI's taxonomy places the organism in Eukaryota, Viridiplantae, Streptophyta, Magnoliopsida, Solanales, Solanaceae.
ACGUUUUCAACAAACGUAUCGUCUUCAUAUUAAAGACAAGCUUCUUAUCUCUCUCUUUCUGAAAAUGUUCCCAAUCCCCACCAAUGUUAUAUCACUUUGUCAUGGAAGAUGAAAAGAAACUCAGCAACAACCAACAAGAUCUGUUAUACAAAAUCAUAAACGGGUAACACCUCCUCAGAUCGGAAUGUUUAUUAUCUAAAAUUGUGGGAUUUCUACUUGAAAAAGAUUCACAAUUUCUCAGCAAAUAUUACAUUUUAUCAUCUCCAACCAAAAUCCAAUUCGAGCGAUAUAUCAAGUAACAAGAUGACUUGAAAUUUGAUGGUACGAAUAGUGAGAUUGUGGCACGUUCAGACCGCGAUAAACCAGACAACACCGUCUCCCUUGAAUUAAUUAUUCAAGACGAAAAGCUUAUGCUCCUUGGCAUUUGUAUUGAUAUUCCAAUAAUCAAAUUUGCUUGAUACAUUGCUGCAACUUUAGUUCUUAUUUUCAAGAAGGACAAAUUUGGAUUGUUGCGAAUGUGGUGAAUCUGCAAGCUGAAAAAGAAUGGUCAUAUUUGGGGUGCAAGAGAUGCUCGAAGAAGGUUGAUAAAAUUGGAAGUAAAUUUCGCUGCAACAAAUGUGAUCGCCUUGAUAGUUCCGCCACUCAUAGCUUCAAGUGCAAGUAAUGGAUCGCAGUGGCUUUAUAUCUUUGUUGCUUUAGGAUCGUGAAGCAACAAGCCUCAUUGGGAAGUCUGUUAAUGAGUUAAAUGAAAGUUCAAUAGAGACUUCUGGUGCUGUUGAGGAGUAUUCUUAUCCAGUGGAGUUGUAUGACAUUCUUGACAAAAAAGUCAUGUUUAAAAGUGACUAUUAAGAGCUCCAACAUUAAAGUGCAUGCGGAAGUUUAUAAUGUUGUUAAAAUCGGCGAUGACGAUAACCUUAUACAGCAAUAUAGUCAUUCUCCACAAGCAGAUACAUUCACUACCCUGAUUUUAAGUGUGAAUAACAUAUGAUGCAGACACAACUUUCAAGGAUUAAAUGGCUGAUAAUGAGAUGACUUCUCCUGCAAAGACCCCUGCCAAAAGAAGUAGAGAAGAGGAUGGAUCAUUUAUAGUAGAGGUUGUGAUGAUCUUGCACAAUUUUCAAGUAACAAGGUUAAAAGAGUGAUUAACAACAACAACAACAACCCAAUAAAAUUUCACUAAUGGUGUCUGGGGAGGAUAGUGUGUACGCAGACCUUACCCUGACCUCGAUGGAAUAGAGAGCCUGUUUCCGAAAGACCCUCGGCAACUCCCACGAUUAAACAGGAGAAAAAUCCAUGAAUGACUGCAUUUGCUUCAUUUUAAAUGACAUUGUUUGUAUACUUGCAUUAACAAGUACUUUGGUAUAACUUGAAGUACUUUCAUUUGUAUUUUAAUUUGGUUUCUACCAUUUAGAAUCAUGUUUUAAUAUAUGAAA